UGCGUAGGCGGUGCUCCAAGUCUGUUGUGAAAUCUCCCGGCUUAACUGGGAGGGUGCGGCGGAAACUAGAGUGCUAGAGGGUGGGAUAGGUAAGCGGAAUUCCUGGUGUAGCGGUGAAAUGCGUAGAUAUCAGGAGGAACACCUGUGGUGUAGACAGCUUACUGGACCACUUCUGACGCUGAGGCACGAAAGCGUGGGUAGCAAACAGGAUUAGAUACCCUGGUAGUCCACGCCCUAAACGAUGCAUACUUGGUGUGAGCGAUUCAUUUCGUUCGUGCCGGAGCUAACGCGUUAAGUAUGCCGCCUGGGGAGUACGGUCGCAAGGCUGAA
RNAcentral lists this ribosomal RNA (330 nucleotides) under uncultured bacterium. RNAcentral's name for it is "bacterial SSU rRNA". It matches the Rfam family "Bacterial small subunit ribosomal RNA", at positions 568 to 898 of the family's 1533-position model. The record is from RNAcentral.